GGCGAGUAGAGAGGUACUGUUUCCAAAACUCUCGGUGAAACGAAACAUAAACUUGACUUCCUUUUAUUCAGUGGUAGAUAUACUUACCUAGAAUGGAUGCAGGCUAGUGUGUGGGCACAAAGAGGAUUUAAACACACACAUGUUUAUCACCAACUCCGUCAGGCCCGACAUGUUUUGAUAAAGGCUGAUUUGGGUUCCAAAGAACAGUUUUUCUACGGAAACAGCAUCUCAUCGAGUCGGAAGAGCCUCAGCAAAGCCAAGGCCAGGGCGCAGGUCCUGAGCCGUCGGGGUCUCCGCCGGCAGGCCUAGACUGACCGAAAUGUGGUCCUAACCGGCUGACCCAGGAAGGAGCAGACAUACAUAAUUGUGAACCCACGAUUUCGUUUUGUUUUCCUGAAGCCAGCUGUGGCCCUUCAGUACACGCCCGGGCAGCGUGUACCGCGGCCCGGCUCGGGUCCGAGCGGGUGGAGGCCGGCUCCAACAGGUGUGGCACGGGUGCGCCCGGCCAACCUCGGCGGGGUCUCUCCCCAGCACCCGCACCAACACCGGCCCGGGCAGGGCGGGAGCCCCAGGCCUUAGAGAUCGGCCUGCGCACCGCCCGCGGCCGCCUCGCACGGAUGGGGAAAAGGCGGGAGGCCGAGACGCGUCCUCCCUCGCCCCCUCCUUAAAUUCCAGCGUCCUCCAUUUGCUGCGCCCGGGGUGCGGCCUAUUCAGUCGCCGGCCCCCAAAUCGGGGCGGCUUCGAGAGCAGAGCCAGGGCUGCCAAGAGGGCGGAGGAGGAGCGGGAAGGGAGUGCGGCGAGUCCGCGGGGCAGUGCCCUGUGCCGCGGAGCUGAGUGCGCUGGCGGCCCUGCCACCUGUGCGGGCGCGCGGCGGCUGCGCCCCGGCCCAGGCCUGGGGCUCCCAGAAAGACCGAGCCAGCCCGAAGGCGGGGCUGGAAGUAGCGGCACGGCCCAGCCGCGCUGCGGCGGCGGGGAGCUGGGAGGUUCUGGCGGGCGCGAGUUCCCUGAGCGGGCCUCUCCCGAGCGCUGCGUCGGCGCCCCGGGCGUCCCGAGAGCCUGCGGGCACCCUAUUCGCCCCCUGGCGGCGCCGGGGACAAGACGGGCGCCGCCGAUGCCACCGCCACUGCCGCGGAAUGAGCUGUCCACAGUAGCACUGGGCGCCGCCCGAAGUCACGCAAGAAUCUGUCCCAGGGCUGCGAACCGAUUUGAGACUAUGGAAACGGUAGACAAAAAGCAAAUUUGA
Molecule: long non-coding RNA, 1243 nt
Organism: Capra hircus (goat)
Lineage: Eukaryota; Metazoa; Chordata; Mammalia; Artiodactyla; Bovidae
Source: Ensembl